This 835-nucleotide ribosomal RNA is filed under the name uncultured Flavobacterium sp. RNAcentral's name for it is "bacterial SSU rRNA". It matches the Rfam family "Bacterial small subunit ribosomal RNA", at positions 24 to 863 of the family's 1533-position model. The record is from RNAcentral. Lineage: Bacteria; Pseudomonadati; Bacteroidota; Flavobacteriia; Flavobacteriales; Flavobacteriaceae.
UCAGGAUGAACGCUAGCGGCAGGCUUAACACAUGCAAGUCGAGGGGUAGAAGAAGCUUGCUUCUUUGAGACCGGCGCACGGGUGCGUAACGCGUAUGCAAUCUACCUUUCACAGAGGGAUAGCCCAGAGAAAUUUGGAUUAAUACCUCAUAGUAAUACGACUUGGCAUCAAGAUGUAUUUAAAGAUUUAUCGGUGAAAGAUGAGCAUGCGUCCCAUUAGCUAGUUGGUAUGGUAACGGCAUACCAAGGCUACGAUGGGUAGGGGUCCUGAGAGGGAGAUCCCCCACACUGGUACUGAGACACGGACCAGACUCCUACGGGAGGCAGCAGUGAGGAAUAUUGGACAAUGGGCGCAAGCCUGAUCCAGCCAUGCCGCGUGCAGGAUGACGGUCCUAUGGAUUGUAAACUGCUUUUAUACAGGAAGAAACACCUCUACGUGUAGAGACUUGACGGUACUGUAAGAAUAAGGAUCGGCUAACUCCGUGCCAGCAGCCGCGGUAAUACGGAGGAUCCAAGCGUUAUCCGGAAUCAUUGGGUUUAAAGGGUCCGUAGGCGGUCAGGUAAGUCAGUGGUGAAAGCCCAUCGCUCAACGGUGGAACGGCCAUUGAUACUGCUUGACUUGAAUUAUUAGGAAGUAACUAGAAUAUGUAGUGUAGCGGUGAAAUGCUUAGAGAUUACAUGGAAUACCAAUUGCGAAGGCAGGUUACUACUAAUAUAUUGACGCUGAUGGACGAAAGCGUGGGUAGCGAACAGGAUUAGAUACCCUGGUAGUCCACGCCGUAAACGAUGGAUACUAGCUGUUGGGAGCAAUCUCAGUGGCUAAGCGAAAGUGAUAA